RNAcentral lists this ribosomal RNA (466 nucleotides) under uncultured bacterium. Its description in RNAcentral is "partial 16S ribosomal RNA". It matches the Rfam family "Bacterial small subunit ribosomal RNA", at positions 28 to 507 of the family's 1533-position model. The record is from RNAcentral.
GACGAACGCUGGCGGCGUGCUUAACACAUGCAAGUCGUGCGGUAAGGCCCUUUCGGGGGUACACGAGCGGCGAACGGGUGAGUAACACGUGAGCAACCUGCCCUUCACUUUGGGAUAACUGCCGGAAACGGUGGCUAAUACCGGAUAUGGCUUCCUCACGCAUGUGGGGUGGUGGAAAGCCUUCGGGUGGUGGGGGAUGGGCUCGCGGUCUAUCAGCUUGUUGGUGGGGUGAUGGCCUACCAAGGCUUCGACGGGUAGCCGGCCUGAGAGGGUGACCGGCCACACUGGGACUGAGACACGGCCCAGACUCCUACGGGAGGCAGCAGUGGGGAAUAUUGGACAAUGGGCGAAAGCCUGAUCCAGCAACGCCGCGUGAGGGAUGACGGCCUUCGGGUUGUAAACCUCUUUCGCCUGCGACGAAGCGAGAGUGACGGUAGCAGGUAAAGAAGCACCGGCCAACUACGUG